CUUCCAUUUCUAAUGACCAGAGGCCUGAGCUAGGAGAGCCUCAUGCCUGCUGUGACCUGCCAUGGAUACCUGGCUCCUGUGCUGGGUGGUUUUUAGCCUCUUGAAAACAGGUCACACAGAACCUGGAGUCACUCAGACCCCUAGCCAUCAGGUCACAAGGAUGGGACACAAAGUUGUCUUAGAGUGUGACCCUGUUUCUGGUCACUUAUACUUCUACUGGUACAGACAGAUCUUGGGGCAGAAAAUGGAGUUUAUUGUAUCCUUCUAUGAUAAGCCCAUGGAGAAGUCUGAAAUAUAUAAAGAGGAUCGAUUCUCAGUUAAAAAGCCUAGUGCAUCAUACUUCACUCUGAAGAUUGAGCCCACAGAACUGGAGGACUCAGCCGUGUACUUCUGUGCCAGCAGUAUAGCCACAGCCCUACAGAGACACCUCCAGCCUGUGCACAAAGUCAGAUGUCUUCUUCUCUCUCAAAGAGCAGCACCUCUUUCCUGA
Tupaia belangeri chinensis (Chinese tree shrew) is the source of this 490-nucleotide non-coding RNA. NCBI's taxonomy places the organism in Eukaryota, Metazoa, Chordata, Mammalia, Scandentia, Tupaiidae. The record is from the annotation of a RefSeq genome assembly.